GCCAAGAGGAAGUAGAUCUCAGCUGUAGAUGAAGAUCUAAAGGUUUUGAUUCCGAUCUGAGAAGUUUGGACCGUUGAUCAAGAUUGAAGAAUCUUGGACCGUCCGAUCAGAGAAGGAGUUGUUUUAAAAGAUGAGAAGCUACAGUGCAAAUGUGAGCUCGGGCUUUUUCUUUCUCUUCGCGAUUUUCUCCACUGUUCAUCUUCUUCCCCGAAGCUCCCAUCAACAUUCAAACCAAGGUUCAAGAUCUGUCAUCACCGGCGGCAUUCGGUCAUUGUUCGAGUAUCAGAUCGCGAGAGAGGGAGGUUCUUUUGCCGUGAUCCUUGCACUUCACUCUCACCAGACGAGCUCAGAUUGGGGGACCUUUUCCGAUCUGAGGGAUUCUAUCAGGCAAUAGAAGUUUCGGAGGAGUUUUUCUGGAGUUUCUGCUUCCAAUUCAUUUCUCAAUUCGCUCGCGACUUCGUAAUCGAUCCGAUCAAUCGAUUGAUGAUCGCGAUUCGUUCGUCUUUCCCUGUUCUUUGGGCAAUGAGCUUUUGAUGAGAUCAUAAGCUUGUAGGGAGGUUUCUACCAGCUGCGCACUUCUUAAUUUUCAACCGUGGAUCUAAAUUAAUCCGGUGAUUGCUCACAGGAGUUUUCGAGAGUUUUUCUGCAAAUUGGCAAAGAGACAAUUUACGAACACUGAUUUGAGUUGUGGAUGUUCCUUCAUCUGGAUUUUAGUUUCGAUUAUUAGAUCUAUUGCUUAGAUUUGUUUUUUCUUUUCGAUUCGACAAAACCCAGAACUAAUUCUGCUCUAUUGGAUUUCAUUUCAGAGUAAUCAGAAAUAAGAGUUAAGGAUUUCAAUUCAUUUCUUAGUUUAAGUUCUGAGUUACUAAAUCUUUUGAUUCAUUAACUUCAUUAAGAUUUGAAUAGUUAAGAAAUUCUGUUUUCUUCAAUUGGAUAUUUCUUGAUUUAGUUUAGCUUCGAGUAAUUAGAUUUAAUUCAUCAACUGUAGUUUAGUCUAGCUUAGUUUAGUUAUUAAAUCUACUUGCUUUGAUAUUUUUCAUGUUAAGUUUGCUUGCCGUAGCUUGAUUUUUUGAAGUUAGCUUUGAAUUGAGUAAAGAAUUAAUUGCUUAGAUUCAAUUUUGUCAAUCAUACAUUUUCUAUUGCAUUGCAUUUGGUCGAAAUAAUUAGUCACUCAAAUUUUCAUAGUGAAAUAACCAAAACAUCAUUUCCAGAAUAAAGCUCAAAAUGAAUAUCACAUUCUAGGCACUCACACAUUUACUAAUUACUCCUUGAAAAAAAAAUACGACUUGGGACUCCUUACUACAAUGCUUGUCCUUAGUUACAAUGAGUUUCAAUCUUAAUUAAUUUGAUGUGCCACGUGACAUGCAAUAUGGUUGACACCAAAUUUUAGCGUCGUUGCCGGGGAACUAACUAGUAGUAUGUGUUUAUUUUAGAUUGCGCAUUGAUUGGUUUAUUUUGUUAGCAUCUUUAUUAAUUUGAUUGCUUAUCUUUUGUAUUUUCAUGUUGGCUUAUUUUGAAUUGUUAAGUUCUUUAAUGUUCAUGUAUUCAUGUGUUUGAAACUUUAUGCUCUUCAGUCUUCUAAUUUUGAGUGUUAGUAUUGCUGUGUAAGAAUAGGAGAUUUCAGUAGCAUGGAUCCAUAUUUUCAGGAUUUUAGAGGUGGAAUGGAGAAUCAGUAUUUUCAGCUUGAGUAUCAAUUUUACCCAACCAUGGAUCAACAAAAGAGGUAUGAGUCAUUUUCUAAUGCUUAUAAUACUAAUUGGGUGGAUCAUUCAUGUUUCAGGUAUGAAAAUGCACAAGGACAAUUUAUUGAGUCAUAUCCAACCUACCAGAAUUCAUAUGAGUUUCAAGAUGUUUCAACAUCUUCGAUGUCACAUUCCUUUCAACAGAACGAUUCUCAAUUUGGAAUGUCAACAUGGAAAUUCAAGGAGGUUAUGCAACAAAUGAGAGAGUAUCAAGAGCAACAAUUCUCAAGGAUACAAAAUAUACAGAACAGUUAGAUAAAAUUGCAUCAUCCAUCAAUCAGUUACAAACACAAAACUCCAGUGGGGAGAUGGAAAGUAGAGAUUAUGUCAGGCCCGACCCUACUUCCAUUACUUCACAAGAUUUUUCUAGUAUAAUUUGUGAUGAUGAUGUAGUUGUUCAGAUUUCUGAUUUUAUUAAUAGUGUUGCUUUAGAUGUUGUGAAUGAUGCAGAAAAUGAAGAUUUACUUGAAGAAAAUUUAAGUGUAGGGGAUUGCUUACUGGAAGCAAUACUCCAAGAAUCACCUGUAUUUGAUGAUGAUGAUGAAGAGAGUGUAGGGACUUGUGCUAUGGAGGCAACGACCCAAGAAUCACUACCUUUGGUUGUACAUUCACCUGAACCAGAGGCUGAGCAAUUACUUGAUGAAAAGGAGGUAACAAUCACCACUCCAGGUACCUUUCAACAUGACAAGGUGAGUAUUAUUUGUGAUACAUCAAAAAAUUUCAUAAAGGUACCAAUUAUUGACUUUAAUAGAUGUGAUUCAUUGCUUAAUAUAUUUUCUACCAACACUAAUAUUCUCCUAUUUUCUUCUUAUCCCUUAUGUGAGUGGGAGGGAUUGUCUUUUAUUGAUGUUUUAGGAGAAUAUAAGCUUCCGAAGUGGAUGCUUAAACUGAACCGUCUUCGACCUCCAGAAAGAAUUUUGAAAUGAAAAAGGAUGAAUAAAAAGGAUUUGAUUGGAACCACAAUCACUCCACUACUAUCAUGGAUUCUUCUUCUAAAUCUUCUCCAACCACCGGGAAUUAAAGGGAAGUUGGUUCCAAUUUCACUUUCUUUUGCAUUUUAAUUCAUGCUUUGUGUUUAGUAUUUUCUUUAAUAAAUUCUUUGUGCUUUAUACAUUUCGUUAGUUUCAUUUUCUUACAUUUGCAUUUUUGUUUCCAUACUUUGCAUUUAGUUUGGUAUACAUAGCAUGCCAUUUGAAUAAAAUUAUCAAUGAAAUUGUUCUAGUAAUAUUUUUAAGAUGGUAAAAGUUUCUUAAAGUUGAUCAUCAAUUUUAGGUCAUUUGACAUGAUUGGAUGUUUUACUUACAUGAUAUUGGUUAGUGUGGCGGUGGAUUCCAUUUUGAUUAAUUGAGUUAAUUGCAAGAGAAAUUACCUAGAGAGGACCACCUUAAGCCUAUACUUAAUUACUUUCUUUUGUGUGGCAUGUACUUACAACAAUUGAAACUCUAGAACUUGUUUUGCUUCUUUUCAAAAUCACAAAGACAUAUGUAUGCAUGAAAAUAAAGGAUAUUUGUCAUUCUUGUUUCAUCAUAAUUUCCAAUCUCUUUCCCACAAAUUUUCUUGAAAUAUUUUCAUCUAGCAUUCUAAUCCUUGAUCAUUUUUGCUUGUCAUUUAUUGAGAGUUUUGGUUGAAUUCUUGAUGAGUUGGAUUGACUAGAUGGACAACGAUUAAGUGUGGGGGAGGAAUUGUAUAUACUUGAGAUUCAUUGAUGGUUGCAUUGCUUGAGGUUAAAGGAUGUUGAACAAUUUUGGGCAAAAUUUUCAUUUCUUAUUUCAGUUAGUUUGAAAUCUGAGAAGUGCUGAUGAAAUGCAUUAGAUUGAAUUAUUUUGUGCCAAAUAUUAUUCACUAAAUUCUCUAUUAGUUGUGAUCAACAUUUUAGUCCAAGGAAUUGAGAGAGUAGCAAAUUCUGAAGCUUGGAGUUUGGAGCAGAAUUUGAGGUUGGUUUGCUGAAGAAGGAAUUUUACAGCAACACUGAGAUUGAAUUGUAUGAACUGGUAUCACUGAAUUUUGUUAAUCAGUUGGUGAGAAGACGUAUAGUUCUGAAUUUCAGUGUUGUGUAGCUAUGGGUGAUACAUUGGCUUCAUUUGAACAAACAAUAGCUAACACAUCAUAAAGAUCCUGAUUUUGAUUGGCUAUUGUUGCCAAUGAAUUCAGAAACCAAUUUAUCAUGCUAUUCCUGAUUAGAACACAAACUGAAACUCAAUUUUUGUUAUCUCUGAAUUUGGAAUUAAGAGUUCUCAACACACAUGCACUGUGCCAAUUUUAAAUGCUAAAAUUUACAGGAAAACAAUUUCAUGUUAUUAUUGGUUAAAAUCAGCAUUAGGUCAUUAGAAAUGAACUCUGAAAUAACAGAGAAGAAGUAACAGAGAAGCUGAUCAGAAUUAGAUUGUUGUUCAAUAUCUGGAAGGGAGUAACCAAGAUAGCAUUAUGUGGCAAUGUGUGUACCAAAAAAUCAGAACUUAGCUAUCAGAUUCAAUUCUGAAAAACACUUCUGUUGAAUUCAUUAGAAGUAGAGCUUAAAUUUUAUUUCUAUAGUAAUGAAUUCUGAAGGAAUUCCAAGUUGUUUCAAUUCAUGAAUGGAUUCGGAGUUCAACCAAUUAGCGGUGGAUCUGCAACAGCAAUAAUUCGAAUUACAACUCAUAACUUUCUAGUAACCAAGCUGAGAUGACCUUGAAUUCCAGGUAUGAGACUGAAAUUUGAAAUCAAAAUUCUGAGGCAAUUUCAUUUCUGAAAUUAUUUCUUGGCAUAAUUCCUGAAUCUGAAUUUAAAAAUCAAGGAUUGGAAUUGAUUGAAGCUGAGUUGUUACCUCAUUAAAUUGAUAUACCAAGCAAUCAAAUGUUGAAUGGUAUUGGUUUGUUUAACAGAAUUGUUUAUUAGAUAAGCUGGAAUUGCUUCAACUUUUGAAUUCUGAAAUUUGAGUCCAAGGUUCCGUUGGAAGAAAAGAAUAGACGAAUCUGUUUUGCUGAUACUCAAGUAGGACAUUUCAAUUUUUGUGUGCCAAGUUGAUUACAGGUUAUUAACCAGAAUUCAAAACCAAUUGAAUUCUUUGAGUUCUACUUGACAUUUGAAAUGCUGAAACUUAAGGUUUGAUGUUGAACCAGGUUGCUGAGUUCUGAAACUUUCUUUGGCAGCAUUAAUUCUUUGACAAACAGAUUCUUUCCUACAUUUCAACAAAGAGAUCAAAUACAGCAAGAACUCAAAGAAUUAUGGAAUUCGGAGCUCUCUUAAAUCUAGAUAUUCUGAAUGGAAUUUUGAAUUCUGAAUUUGUGAGAGUUAUUUGGAAUAAGUGUGAUUGAUUCAUAUGGUGCCAGAAUCACAUGUAACAUUUUCAUAGUUCCUGCAAUUCUAUAAUUACUGCAGACAAAGAAACAAGAGCCAAUUACACUUGAGGCCCAGAAAAAAAGCAAUCAAGCUGUGAAUGAAUGUAUCAAUUUAAGUUUCUAGUGUACUAAUUUGAGAAUCUGAAUUAUGUUACUGCUGGAGCCUGUUGGUGCUUAAGUAGAUUGCAGUGAUAAAGAGCAAAAGAAUGAAGGAACAGAAAUGCUAUUAGGUUGUUAGAAUUCAGAAAAAAAUAUCAAGACUGAACAGAGCUAUUGAAUUUAGUUAUUUUCCUGCUGAUUGUUGUGUCUUAGAAAGCUCUGAAGUGGAAAUUAAGUUGCAUUUGCUGGAGAAGUUGAACUUCAAUUCCUAAAAGUCUCAUUGCCAUUUUUAGAUGUGCAAGAAACAAAAGUUAUAAAAGUUUCAGAAAACAAAAAGAUGAGAAAUAUAAUGUUGCAUUCUUUCUAUCACCUACUAUUUGGAAAUAAGAUUUCAGAUUAAACCUCAAUUGUGUUUCUUUAACUUUAAUUUGUAUUUGUGGUGGAGAGAAGAAAGCUCUGAGCUGCUUAUUAUUUGAAGUACGCAUCAUGACUUAGAGGAUUUUUGAAUUAGAUUUCAGAAUUCAGUAAAGGAAUUCUGUUAAUGUCGGAUCAAGUUCUGAAAUUUUUGGUCAAAUAACUUAGUUGGUUUCUGUAAUUCUGACCAAGAUGUUUAAUGAUUUUAUGAUCCUACAAUUGGAAGAAUUAGUAACUUGACAACCAUUCUGAUUUCUAUAUUUUCAAUUGAAGUUAAAUUUCUGAAAAUGCUGAGCUGGAUUUGGUACUGCAUUACACAUCUGAAAUAGUUGGAAACUUGGAUUGGAUUGAGUUUCAUUGUCCGAGAAGGCCAAAAUUUUAAGUGUGGAGGAGGGAAUUCUUCUUCAUAAGUUGAUGAGAGAUUGUUUUAGUUUUUAGUGCUGGUAUUGAAGUGGAAAAAAACAGUGAAAGAAAAAAAUCAGUGGCAAGACUAAGUGUAUCAAGUGUGAAGAUAGAGUAUCAAGAUUUUUGGAUGACCAUCAAAUUGAAAGAGAGGUUAGCUUGAUCUUUUGAAUUGGUAAUGACAAAUGGUAUUCAUAUCUUUUCACAUCAAAUUGGUCAACUCAUCAAGCAUCGAAAGGGUCAUGGACCCGAUCAGAUCAGACCACAUUUGGGGUCAAAUCUAGGACUAAACAAGACGAUCAAGUCUUGGAGUGAUCUGGACCGUUCAUUGAAGACCGGAGAGAUCUGAACCAUCCGUCAAGGAUCUGGUCCAUCCAAGCCAAGAGGAAGUAGAUCUCAGCCAUAGAUGAAGAUCUAAAGGUUUUGAUUCCGAUCUGAGAAGUUUGAACCGUUGAUCAAGAUUGAAGAAUCCUGGAUUGUCCGAUCAGAGAGGGAGUUGUUUUAAAAGAUGAGAAGCUACAGUGCAAACGCAAGCUCGGGCUUUUUCUUUCUCUUCGCGAUUUUCUCCACUGUUCAUCUUCUUCCCCGAAGCUCCCAUCAACAUUGAGACCAGGGUUCAAGAUCUGUCAUCACCGGCGGCAUUCGGAGUGACAGGCAAUCAUUGUCCGAGUAUCAGAUCGCGAGAGAGGGAGGUUCUUCUGCCGUGAUCCUUGCACUUCACACUCACUAGACGAGCUCAGAUUGGGGGUGUUUUUCCUAUAUGAGGGAUUCUAUCAGGCAACAGAAGUUUCAGAGAAGUUUUUCCAGAGUUUCUACUUCCAAUUCAUUUCUCAAUUCGCUCGCGACUUCACAAUCGAUCUGAUCAAUCGAUUGACGAUCGCGAUUCGUUCGUCUUUCCCUGUUAUUCGGGCAAUGAGCUUUUGAUGAGAUCGUAAGCUUGUAGGGAGGUUUCUACCAGCUGCGCACUUCUUAAUUUUCAACCGAGGAUCUAAAUUAAUCUGGUGAUUGCUCACGGGAGUUUUCGAGAGUUUUUCUACAAAUUGGCAGAGAGACAAGUUACGAACACUGAUUUGAGUUGUGGAUGUUCCUUCAUCUGAAUUUUAGUUUCGAUUAUUAGAUCUAUUGCUUAGAUUUGUUUUUUCUUUUCAAUUCGACAAAACCCAGAACUAAUUCUGCUCUAUUGGAUUUCAUUUCAGAGUAAUCAGAAAUAAGAGUUAAGGAUUUCAAUUCA
Molecule: long non-coding RNA, 7205 nt
Organism: Zingiber officinale
Lineage: Eukaryota; Viridiplantae; Streptophyta; Magnoliopsida; Zingiberales; Zingiberaceae
Exons: 2
Source: RefSeq, a predicted model, not a curated record